UAGGGAAUCUUCCGCAAUGGGCGAAAGCCUGACGGAGCAACGCCGCGUGAGUGAUGAAGGUCUUCGGAUCGUAAAACUCUGUUAUUAGGGAAGAACAAAUGUGUAAGUAACUAUGCACGUCUUGACGGUACCUAAUCAGAAAGCCACGGCUAACUACGUGCCAGCAGCCGCGGUAAUACGUAGGUGGCAAGCGUUAUCCGGAAUUAUUGGGCGUAAAGCGCGCGUAGGCGGUUUUUUAAGUCUGAUGUGAAAGCCCACGGCUCAACCGUGGAGGGUCAUUGGAAACUGGAAAACUUGAGUGCAGAAGAGGAGAGUGGAAUUCCAUGUGUAGCGGUGAAAUGCGUAGAUAUAUGGAGGAACACCAGUGGCGAAGGCGACUCUCUGGUCUGUAACUGACGCUGAGGCUCGAAAGCGUGGGGAGCGAACAGG
RNAcentral lists this ribosomal RNA (429 nucleotides) under Bacteroidota bacterium. RNAcentral's name for it is "Bacteroidetes bacterium partial 16S ribosomal RNA". It matches the Rfam family "Bacterial small subunit ribosomal RNA", at positions 355 to 776 of the family's 1533-position model. The record is from RNAcentral. Lineage: Bacteria; Pseudomonadati; Bacteroidota.